RNAcentral lists this ribosomal RNA (622 nucleotides) under uncultured bacterium. Its description in RNAcentral is "bacterial SSU rRNA". It matches the Rfam family "Bacterial small subunit ribosomal RNA", at positions 338 to 944 of the family's 1533-position model. The record is from RNAcentral.
CCUACGGGAGGCAGCAGUGGGGAAUUUUGGACAAUGGGCGAAAGCCUGAUCCAGCCAUGCCGCGUGCAGGAUGAAGGCCUUCGGGUUGUAAACUGCUUUUGUACGGAACGAAAAGUCUCUUUCUAAUAAAGAGGGAUCAUGACGGUACCGUAAGAAUAAGCACCGGCUAACUACGUGCCAGCAGCCGCGGUAAUACGUAGGGUGCAAGCGUUAAUCGGAAUUACUGGGCGUAAAGCGUGCGCAGGCGGUUAUAUAAGACAGUUGUGAAAUCCCCGGGCUCAACCUGGGAACUGCAUCUGUGACUGUAUAGCUAGAGUACGGUAGAGGGGGAUGGAAUUCCGCGUGUAGCAGUGAAAUGCGUAGAUAUGCGGAGGAACACCGAUGGCGAAGGCAAUCCCCUGGACCUGUACUGACGCUCAUGCACGAAAGCGUGGGGAGCAAACAGGAUUAGAUACCCUGGUAGUCCACGCCCUAAACGAUGUCAACUGGUUGUUGGGAAUUCACUUUCUCAGUAACGAAGCUAACGCGUGAGUUGACCGCCUGGGGAAGUCGGCCGCAAGGUUGAAACUUCAAAGUUGUUAGUUGGCGNGNGNGNGNGACGAGACGACGACGGAGGAGGNGG